AAGGCGUUAGUGUAACGGUAACACAUCGGCUUCCAAACCCGAUAAUGUAGGUUCGAUUCCUACACGCUUUGCCA
RNAcentral lists this transfer RNA (74 nucleotides) under Priestia megaterium. RNAcentral's name for it is "Bacillus megaterium tRNA-Trp". It matches the Rfam family "tRNA". Rfam says of the family: Transfer RNA (tRNA) molecules are approximately 80 nucleotides in length. Their secondary structure includes four short double-helical elements and three loops (D, anti-codon, and T loops). Lineage: Bacteria; Bacillati; Bacillota; Bacilli; Caryophanales; Bacillaceae. The record is from RNAcentral.